RNAcentral lists this ribosomal RNA (420 nucleotides) under uncultured bacterium. Its description in RNAcentral is "bacterial SSU rRNA". It matches the Rfam family "Bacterial small subunit ribosomal RNA", at positions 31 to 497 of the family's 1533-position model. The record is from RNAcentral.
GUACGCUGGCGGCACGCCUUAUCAUGCAAGUCGAACGCAGUAGCAAUACUGAGUGGCAGACGGGUGAGUAUGAUGUGGGAAUCUGCCUUUUGGUUUGGAAUAACUCGGGGAAACUUGAGCUAAUACCGGAUAAGCCCUUACGGGGAAAGCUUUAUGCGCCGAAAGAUGAGCCCGCACUUGAUUAGCUAGUUGGUGAGGUAAAUGCUCACCAAGGCAACGAUCAAUAGCUGUUCUUAGAGGAAGACCAGCCACAUUGGGACUGAGACACGGCCCAGACUCCUACGGGAGGCAGCAGUAAGGAAUCUUGCACAAUGGGGGAAACCCUGAUGCAGCGAUGCCGCGUGAGUGAAGAAGGCCUUUGGGUUGUAAAACUCUUUCGUCGGGGAAGAAAAUGACUGUACCCGAAUAAGAAGGUCCGGC